Long non-coding RNA from Melanotaenia boesemani (Boeseman's rainbowfish), 979 nucleotides. RefSeq lists it as uncharacterized. The record is from RefSeq and is a predicted model, not a curated record. The transcript is spliced from 5 exons. Lineage: Eukaryota; Metazoa; Chordata; Actinopteri; Atheriniformes; Melanotaeniidae.
CCCAGAGGCAGGGAGCCCACCAACGGUGUGGGGCCCAAGAGCUUCGUGGGGCCCAAAAAUCAGGGCCCCACAAAGAUUAGCUAUUUAAACUAGCAUAACAGACCCCCCUGACAUGCCUCCUGCUUUUUUUUCACUUUCCCCACAAGGUGACAAUUUCUGGAAAUGUGUGUGUCAACUGUGUGUGCUCUCUAGCGAUCCCAGAGGCUUGGGGCUGUUACUACAAGUAUACACACUUCAGAAAGUGUGUAUCUUUAGAACCAAUAAGAACGCGUUCUCAACUGAGUGACGAUGAAACCUCCAAUGAUGAUCAGGGUCACAAUUAACAAUAAAUAACACUGAACUUGAUUGGCUGUAUGUAAAAACAGCAACUAAUUUGGGCUGGAUCUCCACUUCCCUAAUAUGGAUAUGGUCUGUUUGGCACCGACAAGCAAGUUCGUCAUGACAGCACAUGAGCCAUAAUGAUAAAAAGGAAGAAAAGGAUCCAUCCUACUGAGGAGGCAAAGUUAUACAUACAGUCUUCUACGGACAAGCCAGGGUUUAUAGAAAGAUUUAUCGAUAGUUGCAAAGGAAUAGGAGUAUUCGCUGCCCAGCCCAUUGAUCCAGGCACCUUUGUCUUGGAGUACAGAGGUGAGCUAAUAUCUGUGGAGGAAUGCCGGUCCAGAUGUUACUCAGAGAGAGAGAGUACAUUUCUCUUUGAAUUUGAAUGGCAGAAUCGUCGGUGGUGUAUUGAUGCAUCCAAAGAGGAUAAAUCCCUUGGAAGACUGGUUAAUGACAACCACAGAUGUCCAAACUGCACCAUGAAAAAAAUUGUGGUGAAUGGGAGACCACAUUUCUGCCUGUUUUCUGUAGUGAAAAUAGAAGUAGGGACUGAAAUUAAUUACAACUAUGGGGAUUCUAAAUGGCCAUGGCGUAAAAAAAUGACAAAGAUGCAGACCUCUGCAGGGACAGCUGAGACUGUGUUGUCCUCCACAGAGCAGCC